This 495-nucleotide ribosomal RNA is filed under the name uncultured bacterium. RNAcentral's name for it is "bacterial SSU rRNA". It matches the Rfam family "Bacterial small subunit ribosomal RNA", at positions 372 to 879 of the family's 1533-position model. The record is from RNAcentral.
UGGACGAAAAUCUGACCGAGCGACGCCGCGUGUGGGAUGAAGGUCUUCGGAUUGUAAACCACUGUCGAGGGGGAUUAAGGGAAACUUGAAAGAACCCUGGAGGAAGGGGAGGCUAAGCUCGUGCCAGCAGCCGCGGUAAGACGAGCUCCCCAAACGUUAUUCGGUAUUACUGGGCUUAAAGAGUUCGUAGGCGGCGAAGUAGGUGAGGUGUGAAAGCCCUCGGCUCAACCGAGGAACUGCGCUUCAAACCACUUUGCUAGAGGGAGAUAGGGGUAAGCGGAACAGAUGGUGGAGCGGUGAAAUGUAUUGAUAUCAUCUGGAACACCGGUGGCGAAAGCGGCUUACUGGGUCUUUUCUGACGCUGAGGAACGAAAGCUAGGGUAGCGAACGGGAUUAGAUACCCCGGUAGUCCUAGCCGUAAACGAUGAGCACUAGUCUGAGGGACUUUCACGGUUUCUCGGACGUAGCGAAAGUGUUAAGUGCUCCGCCUGGGGA